AACGUAGGAGGCGAGCGUUAUCCGGAUUCACUGGGCGUAAAGCGCAGGUAGGUGGUUCGUUAAGUUGGUUGUGAAAGCCCCUGGCUCAACUGGGGGAGGUCAGCCAAAACUGGCGGACUGGAGGUUCCGAGAGGAGAGCGGAAUUCCCGGUGUAGCGGUGGAAUGCGUAGAGAUCGGGAGGAACACCAGUGGCGAAAGCGGCUCUCUGGCGGAAAACUGACACUGAACUGCGAAAGCGUGGGUAGCAAACGGG
RNAcentral lists this ribosomal RNA (253 nucleotides) under uncultured bacterium. RNAcentral describes it as "partial 16S ribosomal RNA". It matches the Rfam family "Bacterial small subunit ribosomal RNA", at positions 524 to 776 of the family's 1533-position model. The record is from RNAcentral.